This 1070-nucleotide long non-coding RNA is filed under the name Elaeis guineensis (African oil palm). RNAcentral's name for it is "long non-coding RNA (EGUI_LNC020784)". Lineage: Eukaryota; Viridiplantae; Streptophyta; Magnoliopsida; Arecales; Arecaceae. The record is from RNAcentral.
UGGCCAACUUGAUCGAUUAAGUUUUGAAUAAGGUUGCUUAGUCAUUCAUGUUCACCAAUGCCGACUAGGAUCAUCGGACAUGAGAUUGUGCUAACCUGAACCUGAACCUGGUCAGUCAAACAUGAGAUUGGGCUGACUAGAUGAGACUUGAAUCCAAACCAUCCCAUAAAUAUUAAGUCCUAGGUCUUCCACCAUUGUAGGAGUGCAGGCAUCCUACUGGUGUUGACUGUUCUCAACUGGUUACAGUGGUUCAGUUAUACUGAAAAGACACAACUAUCCUAUUAGCAUGAGAUGUUGCUAGAUAAUGAUCGGGUUGUGCCCAAUAAAUCGAGCAUGGUGAGGGAUCUGAUGACGGCUUUAUCUAUGUAUUGAAUGGUGGGUCUGACUUAACUAAGGAUUGAGCCAAUAAAAUGGGCACAUUGAGACUUCAUGACUUAGAGACCAAUCACUGUAUCAUGCUUGAAAAGUAUUAGACAAUAAUUAUCCACUCAUCGGUAUAGCAUGGCCCAAUAUACUAGACACGAUAAGAUUCACGCAUAUCGAUGGGAUCGUAGUAUUCACUAGGAAUCCUAGUCGCGUACGGAUUUUCGCAUCUCCACGAGAGAGUAUGAGAGAUCCGUAAAAAUAGUGAGAGUCUAAUUUAUUUCUUGAAGUCCCUAAAAUUAAUUUUUAAAAUCUAAGUACAAUGUCUAACUUGAAUCUCUACUCUUGCAGUUAACCAUAUCAGCCUCCAACCUUUUAACCCGCAUUCUAAAGUCCAACCGACUAGUUGGCCGAAACUACAAAGAAUGGUUCAGAAAUCUCAAGAUUGCCUUAAGUUCAAAGAAGUUAGACUAUAUGCUUGAUCAAGACCCUCCCAUUCUACCUGACCAUCCAAGUGUCCGUCAAACGACAGCACAAGAAAAAUGGAUGGAAGACGAAAAUAAGAUGAAGUAUUACAUUCUGACUUCAAUGUCAAAUAAGUUACAGAGCCAACAUAAAGAAUAUGCCUACUGUCAGGACCAUAAUUACUCAUCUGCAAGAAUUGUAUGGUGAGCAGAGCCGCACUGCACGCUUUGAAAUCUCUAAAA